CACUGCCCCCGUGAUGCCCACUGCCCCUGAGUGACCAUUACCUCGGAGUGCCCACUGCCGCAGAGUGACCACUCCCCUCGGAGUGCUGACUGCCCCUGUAGUGACCAUUACCCCCGUGGUGCCCAUUACCCCUGGAUGACCAUUACCCCUGUGGUGCCCAUUACCCCCGUGAUGCCCACUGCCCCUGAGUGACCAUUACCCCCGUGGUGCCCAUUACCCCCAUGAUGCCCACUGCCCCUGAGUGACCAUUACCCCUGGAGUGACCAUUACCCCCGUGGUGCCCAUUACCCUGGUGUGACCAUUACCCCCAUGAUGCCCACUGCCCCGGAGUGACCACUACCCC
Long non-coding RNA from Oenanthe melanoleuca, 343 nucleotides. RefSeq lists it as uncharacterized. Lineage: Eukaryota; Metazoa; Chordata; Aves; Passeriformes; Muscicapidae. The record is from RefSeq and is a predicted model, not a curated record. The transcript is spliced from 3 exons.